RNAcentral lists this ribosomal RNA (533 nucleotides) under Klebsiella pneumoniae. RNAcentral's name for it is "partial 23S ribosomal RNA". It matches the Rfam family "Bacterial large subunit ribosomal RNA", at positions 2261 to 2793 of the family's 2925-position model. Lineage: Bacteria; Pseudomonadati; Pseudomonadota; Gammaproteobacteria; Enterobacterales; Enterobacteriaceae. The record is from RNAcentral.
GUGGGUAGUUUGACUGGGGCGGUCUCCUCCCAAAGCGUAACGGAGGAGCACGAAGGUUAGCUAAUCCUGGUCGGACAUCAGGAGGUUAGUGCAAUGGCAUAAGCUAGCUUGACUGCGAGCGUGACGGCGCGAGCAGGUGCGAAAGCAGGUCAUAGUGAUCCGGUGGUUCUGAAUGGAAGGGCCAUCGCUCAACGGAUAAAAGGUACUCCGGGGAUAACAGGCUGAUACCGCCCAAGAGUUCAUAUCGACGGCGGUGUUUGGCACCUCGAUGUCGGCUCAUCACAUCCUGGGGCUGAAGUAGGUCCCAAGGGUAUGGCUGUUCGCCAUUUAAAGUGGUACGCGAGCUGGGUUUAGAACGUCGUGAGACAGUUCGGUCCCUAUCUGCCGUGGGCGCUGGAGAAUUGAGGGGGGCUGCUCCUAGUACGAGAGGACCGGAGUGGACGCAUCACUGGUGUUCGGGUUGUCAUGCCAAUGGCACUGCCCGGUAGCUAAAUGCGGAAGAGAUAAGUGCUGAAAGCAUCUAAGCACGAAAC